UCCGGUUUGUCACCGGCAGUCUCGUAUGAGUCCCCAACUAAAUGCUGGCAACAUACGACGAGGGUUGCGCUCGUUGCGGGACUUAACCCAACAUCUCACGACACGAGCUGACGACAGCCAUGCACCACCUGUGAACCUGACCCGAAGGGAAGCCGUGUUUCCACGGCGGUCAGGCACAUGUCAAGCCCAGGUAAGGUUCUUCGCGUUGCGUCGAAUUAAACCACAUGCUCCGCUGCUUGUGCGGGUCCCCGUCAAUUCCUUUGAGUUUUAAUCUUGCGACCGUACUCCCAAGGCGGUCAACUUCACGCGUUAGCUGCGUUACCAAGCCCGUUAAGACCCGACAACUAGUUGACAUCGUUUAGGGCGUGGACUAC
This 374-nucleotide unclassified non-coding RNA is filed under the name uncultured bacterium. RNAcentral's name for it is "contains 16S-23S intergenic spacer region". The record is from RNAcentral.